Molecule: ribosomal RNA, 516 nt
Filed under: uncultured bacterium
Lineage: Bacteria
Description: bacterial SSU rRNA
Rfam family: Bacterial small subunit ribosomal RNA
Source: RNAcentral
GAACUUAGCAGAGAUGCUUUGGUGCCUUCGGGAACUCUGAGACAGGUGCUGCAUGGCUGUCGUCAGCUCGUGUUGUGAAAUGUUGGGUUAAGUCCCGCAACGAGCGCAACCCUUAUCCUUUGUUGCCAGCGAUUCGGUCGGGAACUCAAAGGAGACUGCCGGUGAUAAACCGGAGGAAGGUGGGGAUGACGUCAAGUCAUCAUGGCCCUUACGGCCAGGGCUACACACGUGCUACAAUGGCGCAUACAAAGAGAAGCGACCUCGCGAGAGCAAGCGGACCUCAUAAAGUGCGUCGUAGUCCGGAUUGGAGUCUGCAACUCGACUCCAUGAAGUCGGAAUCGCUAGUAAUCGUAGAUCAGAAUGCUACGGUGAAUACGUUCCCGGGCCUUGUACACACCGCCCGUCACACCAUGGGAGUGGGUUGCAAAAGAAGUAGGUAGCUUAACCUUCGGGAGGGCGCUUACCACUUUGUGAUUCAUGACUGGGGUGAAGUCGUAACAAGGUAAGCGUAGUGCU